This 1257-nucleotide ribosomal RNA is filed under the name Leifsonia sp. 105. RNAcentral's name for it is "bacterial SSU rRNA". It matches the Rfam family "Bacterial small subunit ribosomal RNA", at positions 66 to 1335 of the family's 1533-position model. The record is from RNAcentral. Lineage: Bacteria; Bacillati; Actinomycetota; Actinomycetes; Micrococcales; Microbacteriaceae.
AUGAACCCGGAGCUUGCUCUGGGGAAUUAGUGGCGAACGGGUGAGUAACACGUGUAGUAACCUGCCCUUGACUCUGGGAUAACCUCCGGAAACGGAAGCUAAUACCGGAUAUGACGUACGGAGGCAUCUCCUGUACGUGGAAAGAAUUUCGGUCAAGGAUGGACUCGCGGCCUAUCAGGUAGUUGGUGAGGUAACGGCCCACCAAGCCUACGACGGGUAGCCGGCCUGAGAGGGUGACCGGCCACACUGGGACUGAGACACGGCCCAGACUCCUACGGGAGGCAGCAGUGGGGAAUAUUGCACAAUGGGCGCAAGCCUGAUGCAGCAACGCCGCGUGAGGGAUGACGGCCUUCGGGUUGUAAACCUCUUUUAGUAGGGAAGAAGCGAAAGUGACGGUACCUGCAGAAAAAGCACCGGCUAACUACGUGCCAGCAGCCGCGGUAAUACGUAGGGUGCGAGCGUUGUCCGGAAUUAUUGGGCGUAAAGAGCUCGUAGGCGGUCUGUCGCGUCUGCUGUGAAAACCCGAGGCUCAACCUCGGGCCUGCAGUGGGUACGGGCAGACUAGAGUGCGGUAGGGGAGAAUGGAAUUCCUGGUGUAGCGGUGGAAUGCGCAGAUAUCAGGAGGAACACCGAUGGCGAAGGCAGUUCUCUGGGCCGUAACUGACGCUGAGGAGCGAAAGCGUGGGGAGCGAACAGGAUUAGAUACCCUGGUAGUCCACGCCGUAAACGUUGGGCGCUAGAUGUGGGGACCAUUCCACGGUUUCCGUGUCGCAGCUAACGCAUUAAGCGCCCCGCCUGGGGAGUACGGCCGCAAGGCUAAAACUCAAAGGAAUUGACGGGGGCCCGCACAAGCGGCGGAGCAUGCGGAUUAAUUCGAUGCAACGCGAAGAACCUUACCAAGGCUUGACAUAUACGAGAACGGGCCAGAAAUGGUCAACUCUUUGGACACUCGUAAACAGGUGGUGCAUGGUUGUCGUCAGCUCGUGUCGUGAGAUGUUGGGUUAAGUCCCGCAACGAGCGCAACCCUCGUUCUAUGUUGCCAGCACGUAAUGGUGGGAACUCAUAGGAGACUGCCGGGGUCAACUCGGAGGAAGGUGGGGAUGACGUCAAAUCAUCAUGCCCCUUAUGUCUUGGGCUUCACGCAUGCUACAAUGGCCGGUACAAAGGGCUGCAAUACCGUAAGGUGGAGCGAAUCCCAAAAAGCCGGUCUCAGUUCGGAUUGAGGUCUGCAACUCGACCUCAUGAAGUCGGAGUCGC